Molecule: non-coding RNA, 96 nt
Organism: Acanthosepion pharaonis
Lineage: Eukaryota; Metazoa; Mollusca; Cephalopoda; Sepiida; Sepiidae
Source: the annotation of a GenBank genome assembly
UUGAAACACUUGUUCCCAUAUGAUCACUGUAGUUAAGGAAAGUCGAGCCUGGUCAGUGUUUAGAUGGGUGACCGCUUGGGAAUACUAGGUUCUGUA